UUUCACUUAGCGUAAUGUCUCCAGGGCUCAUCCAGGCCGUCACGUGUGGCAGAAUUUCCGUUCUGUUUAGGGCCGAAUGAUAUUCUACAGCAUGUAUAAACCACACUGGGCUGCUUCCACCUCUGGGCCAUUGUGAAUGAAGCUGCUAUGAACAGAAGAAAAAGAGAAUGGGACCAUUGUUGAUUGCACAUGGAAAUAGACACAGCAUUCACACAGAGCAGGGUGUGGUGGCAGAAGCUCAUCCAGAAGCCUGGCUCGGUGAAGGGGUGAAGAAGCAGCAGCAGCAGCAGCGAUGAAACAGUCUCUCAAGAUCACUUGAGUCUUCCCCCUGCACCAGCAGCCUCCUUAGAGUGUUGAAGGAGUCGCAAGGGACUCCUCACGUCUAUCCCCAGUCCGUCAAACCCUCAUUUGCUUCCCGUGCUCCGUAUCUGGGCCCCACAGAGACAGUGGGACAGAGCCAACUAGGAUGAGCCAGGGAAGGAGACAGCAAAAGUGAGGGAAGAUUUUGGAAAUGAGCCAUACCUGGAAGGAAUAUGGAAAUGGGAUGUAAUUGUAUAGAAAAGAGAAGGGCUUUUGUGAAGAGGGACUAAUUACAGAGUGGAGGGAGAAGAGAGUGUUCAGUGUGCAUUGUCUGAAGGAGUGAACAGGCUCAUCGCUCACUUCCUCCAGGGGACCCAGCCUGGAGAAUGCACAGGGGCCGCAGGAAGAUGGACAUAGUCGAGACGUACAGCAUCUUCUCACCAUCAGGACUGGGCAGGACGGUGUCAUUUCUUUUUCCAGAUAAUUCAUAUAUUUUUCAGAUGGGCAGUUUUCUUUUUGUUCUGACAUAAUGUCAUUCAAACUAGACGUGAGGACUGAAUUAAGAUCUCUUAAUAACACUUCCAAACUUUCAACCAGAACCCUAAGUUUUGUAAGUUUAAACAUAUUUAUGUGUUGUUUUCUUUUAACUAAAGGAAAGCAAGACAUUUUACCAACACAACAUGCUGGAAUAGUUUGUUACCUUCAUAUUGAUGAAAGGAAAACUAAACCCAAAAGGCACUAGUAUUCUUUUUCCCUCU
Molossus molossus (Pallas's mastiff bat) is the source of this 1058-nucleotide long non-coding RNA. RefSeq lists it as uncharacterized. The record is from RefSeq and is a predicted model, not a curated record. The transcript has 3 exons. NCBI's taxonomy places the organism in Eukaryota, Metazoa, Chordata, Mammalia, Chiroptera, Molossidae.